RNAcentral lists this ribosomal RNA (429 nucleotides) under uncultured bacterium. RNAcentral describes it as "bacterial SSU rRNA". It matches the Rfam family "Bacterial small subunit ribosomal RNA", at positions 355 to 776 of the family's 1533-position model. The record is from RNAcentral.
UGGGGAAUAUUGGACAAUGGGGGCAACCCUGAUCCAGCAAUGCCGCGUGUGUGAAGAAGGCCUGCGGGUUGUAAAGCACUUUCAGUAAGGAGGAAGGCUCUGUAGUUAAUACCUGCAGAGAUUGACGUUACUUACAGAAGAAGCACCGGCUAACUCUGUGCCAGCAGCCGCGGUAAUACAGAGGGUGCGAGCGUUAAUCGGAAUUACUGGGCGUAAAGGGUGCGUAGGUGGUUAAAUUAGUUAGGUGUGAAAGCCCUGGGCUCAACCUGGGAAUGUCGCUUAAUACUGUUUAACUAGAGUACUGUAGAGGGAAGUGGAAUUUCCGGUGUAGCGGUGAAAUGCGUAGAUAUCGGAAGGAACACCAGUGGCGAAGGCGGCUUCCUGGACAGAUACUGACACUGAGGCACGAAAGCGUGGGUAGCGAACAGG